GCCUUCGUAGUUAAAUGGAUAUAACUGCGGACUUCUAAGCCGUAAUUCGUGGUUCGAUUCCACGCGAAGGCA
This 72-nucleotide transfer RNA is filed under the name Candidatus Tayloriibacteriota bacterium. RNAcentral describes it as "tRNA-Arg". It matches the Rfam family "tRNA". Rfam says of the family: Transfer RNA (tRNA) molecules are approximately 80 nucleotides in length. Their secondary structure includes four short double-helical elements and three loops (D, anti-codon, and T loops). Lineage: Bacteria; Candidatus Tayloriibacteriota. The record is from RNAcentral.